Molecule: non-coding RNA, 84 nt
Organism: Mycena filopes
Lineage: Eukaryota; Fungi; Basidiomycota; Agaricomycetes; Agaricales; Mycenaceae
Source: the annotation of a GenBank genome assembly
GGUUGUGUAGUCUAGUGGUUAGGACACCAGAUUUUGAGAUUCUAACGUCUUCUGGUAACCUGGGUUCGAGCCCCAGCACGACCU